RNAcentral lists this ribosomal RNA (420 nucleotides) under Fusobacteriota bacterium. RNAcentral's name for it is "Fusobacteria bacterium partial 16S ribosomal RNA". It matches the Rfam family "Bacterial small subunit ribosomal RNA", at positions 355 to 776 of the family's 1533-position model. Lineage: Bacteria; Fusobacteriati; Fusobacteriota. The record is from RNAcentral.
UGGGGGAUAUUGCACAAUGGGCGAAAGCCUGAUGCAGCGACGCCGCGUGGGGGAUGAAGGCCUUCGGGUUGUAAACUUCUUUUGCUCUGAACAAGGCAUGCUUUUGGGGUGUGUUGAGUGUAGGGGUUGAUUAGCGCCGGCUAACUACGUGCCAGCAGCCGCGGUAAUACGUAGGGCGCGAGCGUUGUCCGGAAUUAUUGGGCGUAAAGGGCUUGUAGGUGGCUGGUUGCGUCUGUCGUGAAAGCUCAUGGCUUAACUGUGGGUUUGCGGUGGGUACGGGCUGGCUUGAGUGCAGUAGGGGAGGCUGGAAUUCCUGGUGUAGCAGUGGAAUGCGCAGAUAUCAGGAGGAAUACCGGUGGCGAAGGCGGGUCUCUGGGCUGUUACUGACGCUGAGGAGCGAAAGCGUGGGGAGCGAACAGG